This 496-nucleotide ribosomal RNA is filed under the name uncultured bacterium. RNAcentral's name for it is "partial 16S ribosomal RNA". It matches the Rfam family "Bacterial small subunit ribosomal RNA", at positions 29 to 507 of the family's 1533-position model. The record is from RNAcentral.
AUGAACGCUGGCGGCGUGCCUAAUCCAUGCAAGUCGAGCGAACAGAUGAGGAGCUUGCUCCUCUGACGUUAGCGGCGGACGGGUGAGUAACACGUGGAUAACCUACCUAUAAGACUGGGAUAACUUCGGGAAACCGGAGCUAAUACCGGAUAAUAUAUUGAACCGCAUGGUUCAAUAGUGAAAGACGGUUUUGCUGUCACUUAUAGAUGGAUCCGCGCCGCAUUAGCUAGUUGGUAAGGUAACGGCUUACCAAGGCGACGAUGCGUAGCCGACCUGAGAGGGUGAUCGGCCACACUGGAACUGAGACACGGUCCAGACUCCUACGGGAGGCAGCAGUAGGGAAUCUUCCGCAAUGGGCGAAAGCCUGACGGAGCAACGCCGCGUGAGUGAUGAAGGUCUUCGGAUCGUAAAACUCUGUUAUUAGGGAAGAACAAAUGUGUAAGUAACUAUGCACGUCUUGACGGUACCUAAUCAGAAAGCCACGGCUAACUACGUG